GCUAAGCACCAUUUCCUUGUCAUGAUGGGAAAAAUUCCCUAUAGCCAUUGCAAACACAUCCAAGACAGUGGAUUAUUUGAGGCCAAGGCUCUCUAUCAACUUUUAGAAAACAAUUUCGUGGAUUAUGGAGAGCCAUUUAAAUCACGAUCAUUUUUUUGCAAAUGGAUCUGAGAUGAUAUAUAAUGGUAUCAUUAUAGUUCAUCAUUGGCUCUUCCUGGUAUAUAUCCAUUGAAAAGUUGGGGA
This 243-nucleotide long non-coding RNA is filed under the name Elaeis guineensis (African oil palm). RNAcentral describes it as "long non-coding RNA (EGUI_LNC016768)". The record is from RNAcentral. Lineage: Eukaryota; Viridiplantae; Streptophyta; Magnoliopsida; Arecales; Arecaceae.